UCUAAAUUCAGCGCGUUGUACACCCGCAGUCGAUGAGGUAACCGUAAGGGGCCAGCCGCCUAAGGUGGGAUAGAUGAUUGGGGUGAAGUCGUAACAAGGUAGCCGUAUCGAAAGGUGCGGCUGGAUCACCUCCUUUCUAAGGAUAAGGAACUGCGCAUUGGUCUUGUUUAGUCUUGAGAGGUCUUGUGGGGCCUUAGCUCAGCUGGGAGAGCGCCUGCUUUGACGCAGGAGGUCAGCGGUUCGAUCCCGCUAGUCUCCAUUGGUGAGAGAUCACCAAGUAAUGCACAUUGAAAAUUGAAUAUCUAUAUCAAAUAGUAACAAGAAAAUAAACCGAAAACGCUGUAGUAUUAAUAAGAGUUUAUGACUCAAAGGUCAGAAAAUAAGGUUAAGUUAAUAAGGGCGCACGGUGCAUGCCUUGGCACUAGGAGCCGACGAAGGACGUGACAACGACGAUAUGCCUGAGUAGCUGUGAGUAGCGAUGAUCCGGCAUUUCCGACGGGGAAAAAACUACAAAAGCCCGGGAACGUUAUUUCACAGGCCCCGGGAACGUUAUUCACAGUCCGGGAACGUAUUACACAGGUCCGGGAACGUAUUUCACAGUCUCGGGAACGUAUUCACAGCCCGGACGUAUUCGCAGUGCUCGGUUAUCGUUAUUCAUGGCCAGGGACGUAUUACCAGGCCUAUUAUAUUAUUAUAUUUUGCAGAGAGACAUAUACGCUCCGCGGAGAG
RNAcentral lists this small RNA (729 nucleotides) under Streptococcus pneumoniae. RNAcentral describes it as "bacterial LSU rRNA". The stretch from base 1 to 136 matches the Rfam family "Bacterial small subunit ribosomal RNA", at positions 1397 to 1533 of the family's 1533-position model. The record is from RNAcentral. Lineage: Bacteria; Bacillati; Bacillota; Bacilli; Lactobacillales; Streptococcaceae.